Molecule: long non-coding RNA, 339 nt
Organism: Macrobrachium nipponense
Lineage: Eukaryota; Metazoa; Arthropoda; Malacostraca; Decapoda; Palaemonidae
Exons: 3
Source: RefSeq, a predicted model, not a curated record
GAUUGUAAACCAACUAUUGCAUCGAAAAUAGAAAGAAACCAGACUGCGACGGACUCCUCUUUCCAAAUGAAUGUAAGACGCCCUUAUGUUCCUGCUGUGUAAAAGUAACUACUGUGAAACUGGAUGAAUGCGCAGCAGGGAACGACACCUGCCCCGCCAACUCAGAAUGCCAGGAUAAAGAAAUAGGCUACGAAUGCGCUUGCAAUGCAGGCUUUGAGCAAUGUGGAGAUGCAAAUGAAUGUGACAGCGAUCCCUGUGGGCCAAACUCCCAGUGCCAAAAUACACAUGGAAGUUACGAAUGCGUCUGCAACGCUGGGUACGAAGCAGUCAACGGAAACU